CCAUGGAUCUCCAGGUGGGUCAAGGUUAAAAAAUGUACCAACCUGGAAUACUCCAUGUUGU
Molecule: microRNA precursor, 61 nt
Filed under: Sarcophilus harrisii (Tasmanian devil)
Lineage: Eukaryota; Metazoa; Chordata; Mammalia; Dasyuromorphia; Dasyuridae
Description: Sha-Mir-490_pre stem-loop
Source: RNAcentral